AUGGCCUAUGCUAGCUUUCUGCUGGAAGUGUUUCUGCUGCCUCCCCAAGAUGCUGGAAGGUCACCUCCAUCGAUGCUCUCUCCGCCGCUUCCACAAGCCGUCAGACUGUACAGUUCUGCAAGGAAAAAGAAUGGAAAAGGAAUAGAAGAAGACAAUGCUGAAGCACAAGAGCAUGAGAGGCUAGCUUUACUUAAAGCAAGGAAUAGUGAUGAUUUUGAACGAUUUGGGUCCUUUACAUUCUCAAAUCUAAAAGAAGAUUUUAGAGGACGAGCCAGUCAGCGACAAAGUAAAAGAAAGAAGGUUUCUCAAAGAUUGACAAGUUGA
Molecule: ribosomal RNA, 324 nt
Filed under: Triticum aestivum (bread wheat)
Lineage: Eukaryota; Viridiplantae; Streptophyta; Magnoliopsida; Poales; Poaceae
Description: partial small subunit ribosomal RNA
Source: RNAcentral